Molecule: ribosomal RNA, 253 nt
Filed under: uncultured bacterium
Lineage: Bacteria
Description: partial 16S ribosomal RNA
Rfam family: Bacterial small subunit ribosomal RNA
Source: RNAcentral
UACAGAGGUCUCAAGCGUUGUUCGGAUUCAUUGGGCGUAAAGGGUGCGUAGGCGGCGCGGUAAGUCGGGUGUGAAAUUUCGAGGCUUAACUUCGAAACUGCAUUCGAUACUGCCGUGCUUGAGGACUGGAGAGGAGACUGGAAUUUACGGUGUAGCGGUGAAAUGCGUAGAUAUCGUAAGGAAGACCAGUGGCGAAGGCGGGUCUCUGGCCCGGUACUGACGCUGAGGUGCGAAAGCGUGGGGAGCAAACAGG